RNAcentral lists this ribosomal RNA (1361 nucleotides) under uncultured bacterium. Its description in RNAcentral is "bacterial SSU rRNA". It matches the Rfam family "Bacterial small subunit ribosomal RNA", at positions 28 to 1381 of the family's 1533-position model. The record is from RNAcentral.
AUUGAACGCUUGCGGCAGGCCUAACACAUGCAAGUCGAGCGGUAGCACAGAGAGCUUGCUCUCGGGUGACGAGCGGCGGACGGGUGAGUAAUGUCUGGGAAACUGCCUGAUGGAGGGGGAUAACUACUGGAAACGGUAGCUAAUACCGCAUAACGUCGCAAGACCAAAGUGGGGGACCUUCGGGCCUCAUGCCAUCAGAUGUGCCCAGAUGGGAUUAGCUAGUAGGUGGGGUAAUGGCUCACCUAGGCGACGAUCCCUAGCUGGUCUGAGAGGAUGACCAGCCACACUGGAACUGAGACACGGUCCAGACUCCUACGGGAGGCAGCAGUGGGGAAUAUUGCACAAUGGGCGCAAGCCUGAUGCAGCCAUGCCGCGUGUGUGAAGAAGGCCUUCGGGUUGUAAAGCACUUUCAGCGGGGAGGAAGGCGGUGAGGUUAAUAACCUCAUCGAUUGACGUUACCCGCAGAAGAAGCACCGGCUAACUCCGUGCCAGCAGCCGCGGUAAUACGGAGGGUGCAAGCGUUAAUCGGAAUUACUGGGCGUAAAGCGCACGCAGGCGGUCUGUCAAGUCGGACGUGAAAUCCCCGGGCUCAACCUGGGAACUGCAUUCGAAACUGGCAGGCUAGAGUCUUGUAGAGGGGGGUAGAAUUCCAGGUGUAGCGGUGAAAUGCGUAGAGAUCUGGAGGAAUACCGGUGGCGAAGGCGGCCCCCUGGACAAAGACUGACGCUCAGGUGCGAAAGCGUGGGGAGCAAACAGGAUUAGAUACCCUGGUAGUCCACGCCGUAAACGAUGUCGAUUUGGAGGUUGUGCCCUUGAGGCGUGGCUUCCGGAGCUAACGCGUUAAAUCGACCGCCUGGGGAGUACGGCCGCAAGGUUAAAACUCAAAUGAAUUGACGGGGGCCCGCACAAGCGGUGGAGCAUGUGGUUUAAUUCGAUGCAACGCGAAGAACCUUACCUGGUCUUGACAUCCACAGAACUUUCCAGAGAUGGAUUGGUGCCUUCGGGAACUGUGAGACAGGUGCUGCAUGGCUGUCGUCAGCUCGUGUUGUGAAAUGUUGGGUUAAGUCCCGCAACGAGCGCAACCCUUAUCCUUUGUUGCCAGCGGUCCGGCCGGGAACUCAAAGGAGACUGCCAGUGAUAAACUGGAGGAAGGUGGGGAUGACGUCAAGUCAUCAUGGCCCUUACGACCAGGGCUACACACGUGCUACAAUGGCAUAUACAAAGAGAAGCGACCUCGCGAGAGCAAGCGGACCUCAUAAAGUAUGUCGUAGUCCGGAUUGGAGUCUGCAACUCGACUCCAUGAAGUCGGAAUCGCUAGUAAUCGUAGAUCAGAAUGCUACGGUGAAUACGUUCCCGGGCCU